GCAGACUCUUGGUUCUGCCCACGCAGGUCCCGCCCCUCUCUUAGCCUUGCCCCGCCCGCCGCGCAGGCGCCGUCCGAGGGCUCCGUUUGAAACAUGGCGCGGGCUGGUCCGCGGCUGGUGCUGAGCGAGGAGGCGGUCCGGGCGAAGAGCGGACUAGGGCCUCACCGCGACCUGGCUGAGCUUCAGUCAUUGUCUAUUCCUGGAACUUACCAAGAGAAGAUUACCCACCUGGGACAUUCUCUGAUGAGUUUAACAGGUCUGAAAUCUUUGGAUCUCUCACGCAACUCCUUGGUUAGUCUGGAGGGCAUUCAGUACCUGACCGCAUUGGAGAGUCUCAAUCUCUACUACAACUGCAUCUCCUCUUUGGCAGAGGUGUUUCGGCUCCACGCCUUAACCGAGCUCGUGGACGUGGACUUCCGGCUGAACCCCGUGGUGAAGGUCGAGCCUGACUACCGCCUUUUUGUUGUGCACCUGCUCCCCAAGCUCCGGCAGCUGGAUGAUCGCCCCGUGAGAGAGAGCGAGCGGAAGGCUUCCCGACUGCAUUUUGCAUCAGAGGACUCACUUGACUCAAAAGAGAGCAUCCCAGCUUCUUUGAAAGAGGGCAGACCAUGCCACCCCAGAGCUAAGUGCACCGAGGCCUUGGCCAAGCAGAGCCUGGUCAUGGACGCAGAUGACGAGGCAGUCCUGAACCUCAUUGCAGAGUGCGAGUGGGAUCUCGGCAGGCCUCCCGGGAGCACGAGCUCCAGCCAGAAGGAGCGCGAGGCCGACUCUCGUGGUUCCCAAGAAUCCAGACAUCUAUUGAGCCCGCAGUUGCUACAGUACCAGUGUGGGGACUCCGGGAAGCAGUGCCACGAGACGAGGAGGAGCAGCCGUAGAGGGUGCCAUCUGGAGAAGACACCUUGGAGCCGGCCCUGUGGAGAGUUUCCGCCACCUUACGGAGCAGAGCUGGAGGCCUCCCGGCCUCCCGGGCCACAUGGGUACUUCACCCCAGACCCAGACUCCGUUGGUACUGAGGACUCGGCUUCUUCUCAGAAGUUGGAUUUGUCAGCAGAAAUGGUGCCUGGUUCCCUGCCAGCCCCCGGAAAGUGCAGGAAGCGAAGAAUACCUGGUGGAAGGUUCCAGGCGUUUUCGGACCAGGAAGGUCUGGGCUGCCUGGAGAGAACUCAUGAGUCCUCCGUGCCCGAGGAGAGCCUGAGCAGACAGAACAGCUCAGGAAGCAGGAGUGGGAGGACCUUGUCUCAGCCUGAGGCCUCAGAGUCUGAGGAGCAGAGGUCUCGGGGCAUGGCUGACACCAGAGAGCCAUCUCCCGGGUCACGCUCGGCUCUACCCGGGAAGAAGACGACCCUGCAGGCGGCGCUCCUGGAGACGCUCUUGGACCUGGUGGACAGGAGCUGGGGCGGCUGCAGGUCCCUGCACAGCAAUGAGGCAUUCCUCACUCAGGCAAGACACAUCUUGUCAUCUGUUGAAGAAUUCACAGCGGCUCAGGACGGCUCUGCGACGGUGGGUGCAGACGUCGGCUCCCUGGCUCUGGAGAGUAAGUCCCUGCAAAGCCGCCUUGCUGAGCAGCAGCAGCGGCACGCCCGGGAGAUGAGCGAGGCGACGGCAGAGCUGCAACGCACACGCCAGGAGCUGGUGAGCCCGCCCUGGCGCCGUGUCUGUGUCCACGUGACUGGGGGAAACACGGCUUUGACUUCCAGGAACGAGGCAGCUCCUUGAGGCCACACUGUCCCAACUGCCAUCUCUGCAGCCCCACGUCUCCCCUCCCUGCCCAGCACCCGCCCACCCCCAGGAACGUGGCCUGCCCUGUCUCACAACAGGCCUGGAGCACUUUGGAGACAGCAGUGGCGCUGGCCGCCUUCUCUCCUUGGAGGGGCUGGGCUGGGGAGGCGGGCAGGGGUGACGCCAGCUGGAGACGGUCUUUAGUCCCCUGUCCUCUGGCGCAGUCUGCCCCGUCCCCUCCCGAGAGGUCCAGUGUACCAGGUGAUUGCAGGGUCCCUGCCGCUGCCCUGCCUGUGCAUCCUACCCCGGACCACUGGGCGCUGCGGGAGCCAGGCCUGGACAUGACUUUGUCUUGCUGACCCGUCUCUCAGGGCCUCGAAUUGGAGACAGCUGAGGCCACUCUCCUUUUACGAAGGAGAUGACGGCCAGUGUUCCAUGGUGAACUGGGGCUGCAGGGCAAGUUACCCCAAAAUGAACAGCUGAAAACCCACGUUUAUCCCCUUGGAUUUCUGUGGGUCGGGCCUGAGGCUCAGCUCAGCUCAGCCAGGCGCGUCUGGCUCCCUCUCAGCUGUGGGCCGGGGCCACCGUCUCGUCUGAGGCUUCAUGGGGCAGGAUCCUGCCGGGCUCCCUCCACACUGCAAGGGCCUCCCCAUGAGCUGCUGGUGUCCUCUGGACAGGGAGCUGGUGGUCAGAGAGCCACACCCAGACAGGAGCCACCCUCCGGGAGUCCUGGUGUGAGGGCAGAGCUGUGUGAGGAGGUGCACACCCAGAGGGGCCUUGUCAGCCUUUGUAAAAUGGGAGUGAAGUCGGCCCGGGACGGCUUCGAAAACUGCCUCUGAACUUACCUGACAAGUACAUACUGUUUCAUGGGAACCUACAUCUCAGAGAUCCCACACAGCGCUUCCUCUUCAGAGAAGAAAAAGUACAGAUGACAAAACAACACAGGCAGCCUCUGUUUAAACGCACAUGCCCCGCCCACCCCCCCCUCCCCCCGCCGGGUCUGGAAGCCUCAGCACGUGGCCUUCAUCUGGAAGCCUCCAUUUCAACGUACGUGGGUCCCCAUGCCCCCCGUCCAGAAGCCUCUGCAUUAAACACAUGUCCCUGUGUCCAGAAGCCUCAGUAUUUAAACAGACGUGCCCCCCUCCCCGUCCAGAAGCCUCUGUAUUUAAACACAAGUGGCCCCCGUCUGGAAGCUGCUAUUUAAACACAAGUGGCCCCCGUCUGGAAGCUGCUAUUUAAACAUAAGUGGCCCCUGUCUGGAAGCCUCUGGAUUUAAGAACAUGUGGCCCCUUCUCUGGAAGCUUCUGUAUUUAAACACACGUGAAGCCUUUGUAUUUAAACACACGUUGGCCGCUGUCUGGAAAGUGAGCUGGGCGCUAUCACCGAUGAUGUCUUUUCUGUGGGACGCAGCUGGGCACACCCCUUGCCCUUCUGAGCCUGGGACCGGACGGAGCCGACAGGUGGAGCCCGAAGGUGUGCUGAGCGCCAGUGUCACCGGGGGUGGGAGUCACGUGCAGCUGUGGCUGCUGUGGACGCCUGCUUUUUCGCCCUCUGCAGUUUGCUCAACCCUGUCCCUUGGGGCAGCCCUGGGCCCCAGGACAGAGCAGCCCCGGUUCCCUGUCAGGACGAGUGAUCAGAAGGAUCUGGCAGCCCCAAGCCCCUUGGGUAAGGAGCAGUCAGUACGGUCAGGAACCCUGCGGAGGGAGCAGCCAGGCAGGCUGGUGGGCGCUGCCUUCCAGGGAGGUGCACAUCUGUCACUCCAGAAGCACCCAAGUUUACUCUGCCACGUGAGGACGCUCAUCCCUCGGUCGCAUCAACCUCGACUGUGCUUCCUUCAGAAGCUGCAGUCCAGUGUCCUGAGGCAAAGGUGGCCCCACUCCCAGCUGCUGUGCCUGGCACGGCCUCCGAGGCAGAUGGGCUGCGCCAGCCUAGGUGCAGUUGGUCCUCUGUUCCCUGCGCCUGCUGUGGCCUAGACUCCAAAAAAUAAAAAUUAAACAAUUAGCUAGGCGUGGUGACACGCUCCUGUCAUCCCAGCUAUUUUGGGAGGUAGAGGCAGGAGGCUCAGGAGUUGAGGGCUGCAGUGAGCUGUGAUUGCUCCACUGACCUCCAGUUUGGACGACAGAGCAAGACUUUUCCUCAAAUAAACUAAUGAAAAAGAGCUGGGAGCCCAUAGCCCUGCCUUAAGAGCUCACCGUGUCCUUGGGAGGCAACACCAUGAGACGUGACGCUGCCAGGAGCUUUCUGGAUGACCCAGAGCACCGCGCGGAGGGCAGGUCGUGCUGGUUGGCACCACUGCAGCAGACACCUUGGCAGAAGGCCGUGAAAUGAAGAACUGGCCAGGAUAAGCCUGAGGGGGAUGGUCUCAGACCCAGUGAUCAGCUUUCACCAUGGGCAUCAGGGGCCGGGGGGGAUGAUUUGAGACAACAUUUAGAUAAAUCUUUGGAAGAGAACAGUAGCUUAAAAUCGCUUUUGUUGAGUAUGAAAAAGGAAGUGAAGAGUGCAGACACUGCAGCUACGUUAAAUUUACAGAUCGCUGG
This is an RNA transcript of Piliocolobus tephrosceles (Ugandan red Colobus), 4256 nucleotides long. It is a transcript of the gene named centrosomal protein 72, with no coding region annotated. The transcript is spliced from 10 exons. The record is from RefSeq and is a predicted model, not a curated record. Lineage: Eukaryota; Metazoa; Chordata; Mammalia; Primates; Cercopithecidae.